AGCGGCGGACGGGUGAGUAAUGCUUAGGAAUCUGCCUAUUAGUGGGGGACAACAUUCCGAAAGGGAUGCUAAUACCGCAUACGUCCUACGGGAGAAAGCAGGGGAUCUUCGGACCUUGCGCUAAUAGAUGAGCCUAAGUCGGAUUAGCUAGUUGGUGGGGUAAAGGCCUACCAAGGCGACGAUCUGUAGCGGGUCUGAGAGGAUGAUCCGCCACACUGGGACUGAGACACGGCCCAGACUCCUACGGGAGGCAGCAGUGGGGAAUAUUGGACAAUGGGAGGAACCCUGAUCCAGCCAUGCCGCGUGUGUGAAGAAGGCCUUAUGGUUGUAAAGCACUUUAAGCGAGGAGGAGGCUACUGAGACUAAUACUCUUGGAUAGUGGACGUUACUCGCAGAAUAAGCACCGGCUAACUCUGUGCCAGCAGCCGCGGUAAUACAGAGGGUGCGAGCGUUAAUCGGAUUUACUGGGCGUAAAGCGUGCGUAGGCGGCUUUUUAAGUCGGAUGUGAAAUCCCCGAGCUUAACUUGGGGAUUGCAUUCGAUACUGGGAAGCUAGAGUAUGGGAGAGGAUGGUAGAAUUCCAGGUGUAGCGGUGAAAUGCGUAGAGAUCUGGAGGAAUACCGAUGGCGAAGGCAGCCAUCUGGCCUAAUACUGACGCUGAGGUACGAAAGCAUGGGGAGCAAACAGGAUUAGAUACCCUGGUAGUCCAUGCCGUAAACGAUGUCUACUAGC
Molecule: ribosomal RNA, 731 nt
Filed under: uncultured bacterium
Lineage: Bacteria
Description: bacterial SSU rRNA
Rfam family: Bacterial small subunit ribosomal RNA
Source: RNAcentral